Non-coding RNA from Gorilla gorilla gorilla (western lowland gorilla), 148 nucleotides. It matches the Rfam family "Metazoan signal recognition particle RNA". Rfam says of the family: The signal recognition particle (SRP) is a universally conserved ribonucleoprotein. It is involved in the co-translational targeting of proteins to membranes. The record is from Rfam. NCBI's taxonomy places the organism in Eukaryota, Metazoa, Chordata, Mammalia, Primates, Hominidae.
GCCAGGUGUGGUGGUGCACGCCUGUAAUCCCAGCUACUCGGGAGGCUGAGGUGGGAGAAUUGCUUGAACCCAGGAGGCGGAGGUUGCAGUGAGCCGAGACUGUGCCCCUGCACUCCAGCCUGGGUGACAGAGCAAGAUUCUGUCUCCA